RNAcentral lists this long non-coding RNA (722 nucleotides) under Sorghum bicolor (sorghum). RNAcentral's name for it is "long non-coding RNA (SBIC_LNC005050)". Lineage: Eukaryota; Viridiplantae; Streptophyta; Magnoliopsida; Poales; Poaceae. The record is from RNAcentral.
GCUGAAUUUUAACGUAAUUUCUCUUGAUGUAGCUAGCAGGUGGCAUAGGUGUAUUUGAAAGCAGCAUUCUGACAGCGAUUAGAAUGUCCUCCGUCUGCUAGUCUUCUUGAUUCUUAAAUUCUGUGGAGCUCAAAUAGACAACAAAGCUUGUGGAACUGAUUAAGUGUUAGCAUAAAUAUGUAGCCUUUAUCAUCUUGAGACUCCUUAAUAAUUAUUACUCCCUGUUUUUAUAUUUUUAUUUUAUAAAGCAGAAAAAUAUUUAUUUUAUUUUUAUGCCACCACAGUGAAUGUAUGUAUGGGUUUUAUGCCACUCGUCUAUUCACAUGGGGCUUACUAUUUUUCACAUUUUUAUUUUCUUUUUAAGACAGUAUGAGCAUGUUUAACUAAGUAAACUAUUUAAAAUAACUGAAAGGGAAAGGGUAACUACCAAGUUUACCUCUUGGCAAGGCGUUCGGUGUUUUUAAGUCCUCCGAACGGGACUCUCCAAUUUCUUAAUCGUCCUGAGGUUCGUUGGGUGGCGUAGUCGGUACUUCCGACAGCACCUCCUCUUCUUGUAUAGUUAUCUUCAUUUUCCACACCUGACUCGGUGCUUCAAUCUCCUCUGGAUAAUUCUGUUUAAACUCUACGUCUUCUGACCUUACAACUUCUCCUUCAUAGUCUGCCCAUCCGUCCUUAAUGAUCUGCCUCCUCUGGUUGCGGUUGCGUCGUUUUCUUACCUGCUU